UUCAAUAGCUUUCCAUUGCAGAUUUCGAGGAUUCAAGAGGACAUCGGGUAUCUAGAGUCGAAUGCCUGUGACAGGUCUUGAAAUGUUGCACUAAUAACUAUUGGAAAUAGUCCGAGGUUGAUCUAUUGUCAGGUUAUAAGAUAAGAGGGAACCUGGUUAAAGAGCUGCUCUUGUGAGGUGACCAUUGGGGCACCACCUAAAUGUCCAUAAAUAAAUUUUCUUGAAAUUUUAUCCUGAAGUCGAGAAAAAGAGGGAAACACUUGAUGUGGAACAGCAGGAAAGCCAACUCACUAUGUACUAGACAAGACAGUCUUACGAGGGUUGUCUAAAGAGUUUUUAAAAUAAAAAGGUCUUAAGUAAUGCUUAGGAAAGCAUGCUCAACAAAUGAUGUUGAAGCUUCAAGCGAAUCCGAGCAACAGUUUUUGAGGUAUACGAAUUUUUGUCGAGUGAGGUCCAAGGAGCAAGUUCCAACUUCAAGGUGACCACUCACUUCCAAGUCCAAUAACUCAGAUAAUAUUAGAGCUAUUUUUAUGAAAUCAAAAGCAUAAUACUAAGAAAAGCAUGCUUAAUAAAUAAUGUUUAGAGUCCAAGGUAGUGCAAGUAACAGUUUUUAAAAUAUACGAAUUUUUCUCCAGUGAGGCCCAAGGAGCAAGUUCCAACUUCAAGGUGAGCAGUCACUUCAAAGUCCAAUAACUCAGAUAAUAAUAGAGCUAUUCUGAUGAAAUUCAAAGCAUAAUACUAAGGAAAGUAUGCUUAAUAAAUAAUAUUAAGAUUCCAACCCAAUUCAAGUAACAGUUUUUGAGAUAUCCGAAUUUUUCUCCAGUGAGGUCCAAGAAGCAAGUUCCAUCUUCAAGGUAAACACUUACUUUCAAGUCCAGCAACUUAAAUAAUAAUAGAGCUAUUCUUAUGAAAUCAAUAGCAUAUUACUAAGGAAAGCAUGCUUAAUAAAUAAUAUUUACAGUCUAAACCAAUCCAAGCAACAUUUUUUGAGAUAUCCGAAUUUUUGUUGACUGAGGUCCAAGGAGCAAGUUCCAUCUUCAAAGUGACCACCUAUUUCCAAGUCCAAUAACUCAAAUAAUAAUAGAGUUAUUCUUAUAAAAUUAAAAGCGUGAUGCUAAGGAAAGCAUGCUUAAGAAAUAAUGCUUAAAUUCCAACCCAGUUCAAGCAACAUUUUUUGAGAUAUCCGAAUUUUUGUUGAGUGAGGUUCAAGGAGCAAGUUCCAACUACAAGGUGACCACUCAUUUCCAAGUCCAAUAACUCAGACAAUAAUAGAGCUAUUUUUAUGAAAUUAAAAACAUAAUGCUAAGGAAAGCAUGCUUAAUAAACAAUGUUAAGAGUCUACGUCAGUCUAAGGGACAGUUUUUAAGAUAUCCGAACUUUUCUCCAGUGAGGUCCAAGAAGCAAGUUCCAUCUUCAAGGUGACCACUCAGUUUUAAGUCCAGUAACUUAAAAAAUAAUGGAGCUAUUCUUAUGAAAUUACAAGCAUAUUACUUAGGAAAGCCUGUUCAACAAGUGAUGUUUGGAUUGCAACCUAGUUUAAGUAACAGUUUUUGAGAUAUCCGAAUUUUUCUCUAGUGAGGUCCAAUAAGCAAGUUCCAUCUUUAAGGUGACCACUCCCUUCCAAGUCCAAUAACUCAGACAAUAAUUGUGCUAUUCUUAUGAAAUUAAAAGCAUAAUACUAAGAAAAGCAUGCUUAAUAAAUGAUAUUAAGAGUCCAAGCUAGUCCAAGCAAUAGUUUUUGAGAUAUCCGAACUUUUCUCCAGUAAGGUCCAAGAAGUAAGUUCCAUCUUCAAGAUGAUCACCCAUUUCCAAGUCCAAUAACUCAGACAAUAAUAGAGCUAUUUUUAUGAAAUUAAAAGCAUAAUGCUAAAGAAAGUAUGCUUAAUAAAUAAUGCUUAAAUUCUAAUCCAGUUCAAGCAACAUUUUUUGAGAUAUCCGAAUUUUUGUUGAGUGAGGUUCAAGGAGCAAGUUCCAACUUCAAGGUGACCACUCAAUUCGAAGUCCAAUAACUCAAAUAAUAAUAGAGCUAUUUUUAUGAAAUUAAAAGCAUAAUACUAAGGAAAGUAUGCUUAAUAAACAAUGCUUACAGUCCAAACCAAUCCAAGCAACAAUUUUUGAGAUAUCCGAAUUUUUUUCCAGUGAGGUCCAAUAAGCAAGUUCCAACUUCAAGGUGACCACUCACUUCGAAGUCCAAUAACUCAAAUAAUAAUAGAGCUAUUCUUAUGAAAUAAAAAGCAUAAUAUUAAGAAAAGCGUGCUUAAUAAAUGAUGUUUACAGUCCAAACCAAUCCAAGCAAUAGUUUUUGUGAUAUCCAGUUUUUUCUCCAGUAAGGUCCAAGGAGCAAGUUCCAAUCUUGAAGGUGAUUCUUAAUAGCCAAGUCCGAUUACUCAGAUAUAAGAGAGCUAUUCUUAUGAGAUUAGAGGUAUCUAUUCUUUUUCUUCUUAGGAACGCCAAAUGCCUGGAAGAAACUAUUGAUUUCUUACAGGCAGUUGAGUCAAACCUUUCUUCUCUUCGUCUUCUUCUCCUUCUCCUUCUCCUUCUCCUUCUCCUUCUCCUUCUCCUUCUCCUUCUCCUUCUCCUUCUCCGUGCCAAGGAAUUGAAUGCUGAAUACGUGGACUUUGGUCAAAAAUUUAUCAUUGCACCAAUUAGAGAUAGAGUCAGAUGGAAUUAGAGAUGGAGCCAUCAAAGUCACGUGAGAGAUGCAGAGCUUGAAGUUUAGGUGCAAUCGAUCAGAGUUUUGGCACUGAAGGAAUCAACUAUUAACUAUGGACUACGGUCCUUGCUAACCAGAUCUAGCUCCAAGCACUAAGUUCAAGAGAUAUUCCAAGCAUUAGAAAACAUUGAGCGAACCAAGCUCACUCACCAGAUCUAACCUCAAAUGUUUUGCACUCAAAAACAGUUGCAUCCAUCAAGAAAAGACUCUUAAACACCUUCUUCUUCCAUUACAUAACUCAAGUGUCGCCCUCU
Anthonomus grandis grandis is the source of this 2967-nucleotide long non-coding RNA. RefSeq lists it as uncharacterized. The transcript has 3 exons. Lineage: Eukaryota; Metazoa; Arthropoda; Insecta; Coleoptera; Curculionidae. The record is from RefSeq and is a predicted model, not a curated record.